UGGGGAAUAUUGGACAAUGGGCGCAAGCCUGAUCCAGCAAUGCCGCGUGGGUGAAGACGGCCUGCGGGUUGUAAAGCCCUUUGGGUGGGGAAGAACGGUGGUUUGCGAACAGCGGACUGCUCUGACAUUACCCACGGAACAAGCACCGGCUAACUCCGUGCCAGCAGCCGCGGUAAUACGGAGGGUGCGAGCGUUAAUCGGAAUUACUGGGCGUAAAGCGUGCGUAGGCGGACGGGUCAGUCAGCCGUGAAAGCCCCGGGCUCAACCUGGGAACGGCGGUUGAGACGGCCCGUCUGGAGUGGGCUAGAGGAUCGUGGAAUUCCGGGUGUAGCGGUGAAAUGCGUAGAGAUCCGGAGGAACACCGAUGGCGAAGGCAGCGAUCUGGGGCCACACUGACGCUGAGGCACGAAAGCGUGGGGAGCAAACAGGAUUAGAUACCCUGGUAGUCCACGCGGUAAACGAUGAGCACUAGACACCGGUGGGGUGACCUGUCGGUGUCGCAGCUAACGCGCUAAGUGCUCCGCCUGGGGAGUACGGCCGCAAGGUUG
RNAcentral lists this ribosomal RNA (548 nucleotides) under uncultured bacterium. Its description in RNAcentral is "bacterial SSU rRNA". It matches the Rfam family "Bacterial small subunit ribosomal RNA", at positions 355 to 896 of the family's 1533-position model. The record is from RNAcentral.